This is a small nucleolar RNA of Xyrauchen texanus (razorback sucker), 88 nucleotides long. RefSeq annotates it as small nucleolar RNA SNORD60. The record is from RefSeq and is a predicted model, not a curated record. NCBI's taxonomy places the organism in Eukaryota, Metazoa, Chordata, Actinopteri, Cypriniformes, Catostomidae. The transcript has a single exon.
AGCCGCUGAUUAUUCACACUAUACUUUUCUGACAUCUCCUAUGAACACUGCCAAGCAUCAGCUGAUUAUAAAAUAAAAUCUGAGGCUA